AAGUUUAUACCACCUACUUCAAGGGAAUGUCGGCAUGCAUAUUUUCUGCGACUUAGUAAAUGAGUGGAUUUGUAUUUUGAUUCUCAAAGUGCAGGUGUAUCUCUCAAGGCUGAAUUAUGAAAUGAUGCAUGAAAAAAAUUUGAAGAAAUUUCUUCGCGGACAGAUGGUCUGAUUAUAGCAUGUAUUGUUGCCCACACCAUUGUAUUGAGAAAAGUACCAAAA
Molecule: long non-coding RNA, 222 nt
Organism: Homalodisca vitripennis (glassy-winged sharpshooter)
Lineage: Eukaryota; Metazoa; Arthropoda; Insecta; Hemiptera; Cicadellidae
Exons: 2
Source: RefSeq, a predicted model, not a curated record